AUGUGCAAAGGCUUGACUGGGGAAGAGGAGGAUGGGGCUGGAGGCCACGAAGCAGUACGGGAGAUCCCUGAAGUGAUCCCCAUAAAAAAAAUUAUUAGAGGGGAGUCUUGUGCAGGCGCCGGGUGGACAUCUGUGAGGGUGGCUUGUGCAGCCAUAUGGUCCCUGGCCGACCAGGACAGGUUUAUUUGCACCUAUCCUGCCUAUUUAAAUAAGAAGAAGACCAUCACAGAAGGAAGGCAGAUCCCCAUCAGUAAGGCUGAUGAAAAUCCUACAGCUACAGAGAUUCAAGAUGUAUGCUCAGCAGUUGGACUUAAUGUAUUUCUUGAGAAAAAUAAAAUGUACUCUAGAGAAUGGAAUCAUGAUGUCCAAUACAAAGGCAGAGUCCGGGUUCAGCUUAAACAGGAAGAUGGCAGCCUCUGUCUUGUACAGUUUCUGUCACAUAAGUCUGUAAUGUUGUAUGCAGCGGAAAUGAUACCUAGACUAAAAACAAGGACACAAAAAACAGGAGUUGGUGACCAAAGUCUUCAGCAAGGAGAGGGAAGUAAAAAAGGGAAAGGAAAGAAGAAGUGACCUAGUAUGAGCAUCAUUUAUCUGAUAGUACUCCAAGAGACAUGAAUGGAGGCUUCUAAUUUUUAUCUGAGAGAAACAGAAGCUCUUUGUUUGCAUGAUUUUAUUGAACUAUGCACACUUGUGCCUCCCAUCAUCAUCAGAGUUGACAAUGAAAUAAAUCUACAUCAGAACUUUGCAUCUAGCUUUUAUGCAGUAAAGAUUUUUUAUUUUUUGUCUUUCAAUG
Microcebus murinus (gray mouse lemur) is the source of this 793-nucleotide non-coding RNA. NCBI's taxonomy places the organism in Eukaryota, Metazoa, Chordata, Mammalia, Primates, Cheirogaleidae. The record is from RefSeq and is a predicted model, not a curated record.